Leptonychotes weddellii (Weddell seal) is the source of this 1282-nucleotide non-coding RNA. The record is from RefSeq and is a predicted model, not a curated record. Lineage: Eukaryota; Metazoa; Chordata; Mammalia; Carnivora; Phocidae.
UCCGCGGGAAGGUGACCUCUGGAGUGGUCCCAGGCUGCACCCAUGGCAGAAGGAGAGCACAAACCCCACGAAGUGGUGAAGUUCAUGGACGUGUACCAGCGCAGCUACUGCCGUCCCAUUGAGACCCUGGUGGACAUCUUCCAGGAGUAUCCUGACGAGAUCGAGUACAUCUUCAAGCCAUCCUGCGUGCCCCUGAUGCGGUGUGGGGGCUGUUGUAAUGACGAGGGCCUGGAGUGCGUGCCCACCGAGGAGUUCAACAUCACCAUGCAGAUUAUGCGGAUCAAACCUCAUCAAGGCCAGCACAUAGGGGAGAUGAGCUUCCUACAGCACAGCAAAUGUGAAUGCAGACCAAAGAAAGAUAGAGCAAGGCAAGAAAAAAAAUCAAUUCGAGGAAAGGGAAAGGGGCAAAAAAGAAAGCGCAAGAAAGCCCGGUAUAAACCCUGGAGCGUUCCCUGUGGGCCUUGCUCAGAGCGGAGAAAGCAUUUGUUUGUACAAGAUCCGCAGACGUGUAAAUGUUCCUGCAAAAACACAGACUCGCGUUGCAAGGCGAGGCAGCUUGAGUUAAACGAACGUACUUGCAGGAGCAGCACAGCGAAUGAUCACCUCUCGCCACCCAGCAGCCUGGUACCGGGGGCCCGCUGCGGCCAGCAUGCUGAAGAAACAAGGCCUGGAGGGAGGGCAUGGUGAAGGGAGAUGUGUCCCUCACGGCCUCGCCGGAGCAGCCCCUCCCUUUCAGCUGGCCCUAGCCCUGGGUCAGGGUGCUCUCCCCACUCUCUUCCGCAAGCCAGCCCCAUAGAGGCAGAGCUGAAGCCCCUCUCUCUGCGGGCACUCUUUGCUGACUAACUCGGUCCACCUCUGGUCACCAUCAGCUCUUAAAUGCCAAAUGUGACAAGCCCAGGCGGUGAGCCGGGCUGGAAGAAGGAGCCUCCCUCAGGGUUUCGGGAACCAGACCUCUCACCAGGAAAGCCUGAUUCAGAACGCUACAGAAACCACGCCGCUGCCCCCACCACACCAACCAUCGCCAUCACCAGAACAAUCCUGAAUCCAGAAACCUGAAAUGAAGGAAGAGGAGACUCUGCGCAGAGCACUUUGGGUCCGGAGGGCGCGACUCCGGCAGAAGCAUUCCCGGGCAGGUGACCAAGCACGGUCCCUCUUGGAAUUGGAUCGCCAUUUUAUUUUUCUUGCUGCUAAAUCACCGAGCCCGGAAGAUUAGAGAGUUUUAUUUCUGGGAUUCCUGUAGACACACGCACCCACAUACAUACACAUACAUACAUUUAUAUAU